RNAcentral lists this ribosomal RNA (465 nucleotides) under uncultured bacterium. RNAcentral describes it as "partial 16S ribosomal RNA". It matches the Rfam family "Bacterial small subunit ribosomal RNA", at positions 28 to 507 of the family's 1533-position model. The record is from RNAcentral.
GACGAACGCUGGCGGCGUGCUUAACACAUGCAAGUCGAACGGAAAGGCCCUGCUUGCCGGGUACUCGAGUGGCGAACGGGUGAGUAACACGUGGGUGAUCUGCCCUGCACUUCGGGAUAAGCCUGGGAAACUGGGUCUAAUACCGGAUAGGAGCCAUUUUUAGUGUGAUGGUUGGAAAGUUUUUUCGGUGUAGGAUGGGCUCGCGGCCUAUCAGCUUGUUGGUGGGGUAAUGGCCUACCAAGGCGGCGACGGGUAGCCGGCCUGAGAGGGUGGACGGCCACAUUGGGACUGAGAUACGGCCCAGACUCCUACGGGAGGCAGCAGUGGGGAAUAUUGCACAAUGGGCGCAAGCCUGAUGCAGCGACGCCGCGUGGGGGAUGACGGCCUUCGGGUUGUAAACUCCUUUCGCUAGGGACGAAGCUUUUUGUGACGGUACCUAGAUAAGAAGCACCGGCUAACUACGUG